GUAACGAGCGCAACCCUUGUCUAGUUACCAGCACGUUAUGUGGGCACUCUAAGGAGACUGCCGGUGACAAACCGGAGGAAGGUGGGGAUGACGUCAAGUCAUCAUGGCCCUUACGGCCUGGGCUACACACGUGCUACAAUGGUCGGUACAAAGGGUUGCCAAGCCGCGAGGUGGAGCUAAUCCCAUAAAACCGAUCGUAGUCCGGAUCGCAGUCUGCAACUCGACUGCGUGAAGUCGGAAUCGCUAGUAAUCGUGAAUCAGAAUGUCACGGUGAAUACGUUCCCGGGCCUU
This 291-nucleotide ribosomal RNA is filed under the name uncultured Pseudomonas sp. Its description in RNAcentral is "partial 16S ribosomal RNA". It matches the Rfam family "Bacterial small subunit ribosomal RNA", at positions 1089 to 1382 of the family's 1533-position model. The record is from RNAcentral. Lineage: Bacteria; Pseudomonadati; Pseudomonadota; Gammaproteobacteria; Pseudomonadales; Pseudomonadaceae.